RNAcentral lists this long non-coding RNA (4980 nucleotides) under Sus scrofa (pig). Its description in RNAcentral is "lncRNA (ENSSSCG00015040546.1)". The record is from RNAcentral. Lineage: Eukaryota; Metazoa; Chordata; Mammalia; Artiodactyla; Suidae.
UUUUUUUUUUUUUUAUGCUUAUCUCCUUAUUUUCUUGUUUCCCACUCCCCCAAACCUAAACUCACCCCUCUUAUGGUGUUUGUGGCUCAGAUUAUUUGAGUAACCUCCACUUGAAGCCUGGAGACCAUAAAUGGGCCCUGUCAGAUUAUUUAGAGGCAUCUGUUUAGGAAGAUACAUUCAGGGGAAAGGUUGUUGCUGGAAGUCUUUAAAAUCACAAUAUCACAUAGUGGUUACCCAUUUCUGGGAGUGCUCCUAGAUACAUAUUAAGAAUUUUAUGAUUGGAGUUCCUGUUGGGGUGCAGUGGAAAAGAACCGACUAGGAACCAUGAGGUUGUGGGUUUGAUCCCUGGCCUUGCUCAGUGGGCCUUGCUCAGUGGGUUAAGGAUCAGGUGUUGCCGUGAACUGUGGUGUAGGUCACAGACACGGCUCAGAUCCCACAUUGCUGUAGCUAUGGUAUUGGCCAGCAGCUACAGCUCCUAUUUGACCCCUAGCCUGGGAACCUCCAUAUGCUACAGGUGCGGCCCUAAAAAUAAAAAAUAAAAAAUAAAAAAAAAAAGAAUUUGAUGAUUGACAUUUAGUUGCCUCUCAAUAAACAGCUAUAGAUAACUAUUGGGUUUGCUGCUGGGGUGACUGUGUUGCAUGAUUUUGUGCUUUCUGAAUACAAAAUAGGUCUUUGAGUAAGGUAUGCUUUUUUGACAGCUGUAGAUAACAUCUGAGAGACAAUUUAAUUCGUCUUCAACUGGAGCAGCAGAAAAUAAAAAGCAAACAGGUUACAUCACUACUACUGCUUAUUUGAUGAAUAACAAUAAAUAUGGAUGAAACACCUGAAGGAGCACACGAAUGCCUAGUUAGCAAAUUUGCCAAGUAUGCAGACAAUGGGUGUGCUGCAUGAUUAUGUUUGUUGAAAAUAAAAGAGAGACACACAUAAAUAGGCCUAGAGAGAAUGAAGAUUCAGUGACAGCAUCACAUAAAGCUCAUAAAGUAUCUUUCAUCUUGGGUAGUUGAAAGCAUUUUAAAAGUGUCCUCAUGACACCCUUCUGGUGCUAGUAGAUGGUAAAGAAAUAUCGACUCCAUUUAAAUUAAAAAGAAUGCUGAAAUGGGAGUUGGAAAGUGAAGUGAACUGCCUAAUGUCUCAGUCUCAGAAACGGAGGCUGUGUCUGUCUGUGGCAAGUGUAUUGUGUCAUUUGCCCCCAAGCAAUCUUUUUCUAGCUCUGUAUAAAUUAUCUACCUGGCAAAAAGAAGACUGAAGCUGGGAGCAAAAAUAUACUUCUGUGGGUGUAAUUGUAUUCGUGGCCAAAUAGAAUUUGGACUUCUUCCAUUAGCAGGAAUGCCUGGUGGUAGUACUAACUUUAAAAUCCUGAGUUGUCAACAAACAGAAGGAGCCUAGCUGAACAGGAUUAGAGAGCAAGGAAUGGAGAGAUGGGAUAAAUAUGCAGCCACAUCCAAGGAUUUAACCUCAAACUUCCUUGAGGAAGAUGACUUUGUGGGAGGGAUCCUUUCCUUGAGGCUGGGCUCAUUUCUUUCUCUUCCCUCUCCCAACUGCUAUGCUUGUCCCCCUUUUGCUUCUUGGUUUCUCCCAAGUACCAGAAGUCAGAACUGGGCAACCAGCAUCUGGGACAGUUUUUUUCCUGGUAGGGGUAGCAGUAUUAAUGAUAUUCCUUCCUCCUGCUGCGGACAUUGAACAUUUCCCUGAAACACCUUGUUGGGUCAUCCUUUUAUCUCCCAUCUUGCUCAUACCAGCUCCAAUCACACUGGUGCUUACUUUUGCUCAAAUAAGCCAGGCAUGUUCCUGGCUCAGUCUUUGCACUUCUUGUUUACUCUAUCGGGAAUUUUUUUUACUCAAAUAAUAUUUUCAUCAUAUGCUUUUACUGGUCACUCAGUUUAGAUUUAGAGUGAAAAGUACCCUGUUUUGCCUGUGACUGGAGAUUCCUAGGACAUGGGACUUCUAGUUUUAAAACCUGGUCAGUCCCAGGAAAAUGUGGAUGCCUUGGUUGCCCUAUUUAAAUUGCAGCUCUUUCUAUCAGGCUCCCUUCCUUUACUGUUUUUUCUUAGCAUUUAUCACCAUAUAUUAUACUAUACAUUCUAUCUACUUAUUUUUUAUCAAUUGCUUUGCCUUCUCCCCCAGUGCUAUCUCCACGAGGGCAAAGAUUUUUUAAAAUUUGUUUUUUUUUUUCCUUUCCCUGAUAUGUCCUUCACAGCCAGAAUGGCUCAAAGUAGGCACUUAGUAACUGUUUUUGAAUGAGUAAAUAAAUGAAUUAAUGAGAAUUUUAGAAAGCAAACCAGAUACGAAGCAACUAUGUUGGGAAUAUAUUUUGUGAAUGAAUGAUUGAAUCCAUAAAGCUUUGGUCUGAUGUAAUUUGACUCACAAAAUAAAUGCAUUGCUUCAUAAUGAGUGAUACAUUUCUAGAGAAAUUGAAGCAAUUUUUUUUCAUAAUUUAAAAUUAAAGAGUUAUUUAAUUUGUUUUUAAAAUAAAUUUUUUGGGAGUUCCUGUCGUGGCUCAGUGGAAUGAAUCUGGCUAGUAACCAUGAGGAUGCGGGUUCAAUCCCUGGCCUUGCUCAGUGGGUUAAGGAUUCGGUGUUGCUGUGAGCUGUGGUGUAAGUCACAGAUGUGGCUCAGAUCCCUAGUUGUUGUGGCCGUGGUAGGCCAGCAGCUGUGGCUGUAGCUUCAAUUAGACCCCUAGCCUGAUAACUUCCAUAUGCUGUAGGUGCAUCCUGAAAAAGCAAAAGUAAAUAAACAAAUAAAUAUUUUGUAAAAAUAGACUAUAGAAUGUAGUAUUACACUUAAAUAUGUUGGUGGAUCAUUUGUGCGGGUUUAGGUCCACUAAGUUUAAUAUAUUGGAAUAUACUUGUAAUGGAAAUUCAAUUAAUUUUAACUCAUGGAAGUCUCUCAUUUGCUUUCAUGAAAACUUAGGUGUAUGUUUAAUUGUGCCUCAGCAGCAAUUCAAGCCACUGCAGUGACAAUGCCAAAUCCUUAACCCACUGAGCCACAUGGGAACUCUGAAACAUUCUUUUCUUAAUAUUCAGUUAUUAUUGACUGGAUGGAUGACUUCAAAAGGCCAAUAUAAAGAAAACCACAUGAAUUAUAAUCUCUCUACUGAACAAGAAAUCAGAAGUCAUGAGCUGCCAUAUACUUGGGAUAGCAUUCUUGGGUGUCUGACUACUGACCUUAGAUCUAAUGUGGAAAGCCUGGCCAAGCUGUCCCAUUGCUCUAUUAUCUGAAAGCAUCUUCAUUGUCCCUCACACGUCCAUAUUGGUGAAGUGCUAUGGGGAGAACAUUGAAUCUGGGUGCACAAACCCUGGGUCCUCAUCCCUUUUUACCAUCUGACUUUCCGUGUGGCCUUGCAUGAUCACUUAAUCUCUUGGAACUUGAACCUCUUAAUAUGUUAAACGAGGAUGGUAAAGGCCUACCUACCUUGCCAGGUUGGUAUGAACUCAAAAUAGGAGUGGUGAUGCUUUGGAAAUCAUUAGGUGCUGUGUAACAAUGUAAGUUGAGGUAAGAUGAAAGGAGAGGUGUUCUCCUGGUUGCAUGUGUUGCAGGUGAUUGAGCAGCCACUGCUGGAUGGGUGGCUCUUGGCUCAUACUUUUCCUUUACCUCAUGAUGAAGGUUCUCUCUCUCACCAGUGAUUCAGAUAGUAUCAGGAUUGGAGCCUGCAUUUUCCCCUUUAGAUCUAAAGAGUCACUUAAGGACUACUAAGUGACUCUCAUUACUUCAUUAAUGAAGUCUCAUGACUUCAUUAGGGAGCUCUUCUAGUGGCUUCUUACCAGGUUUAAUCAACUCACUGUUAUAGAUGCAGGUCACCCACUGGGAGCAAUUUUUUUUUCCUUUAAAAUAAGCAUCAGUACUCCAUUUUCAAAGUAGAGUCUAUCUUUGUAAGUUGAUGAAUAGCCACAAAGAGGCCAAAUAAUAUGGUGGUUAAAAUGGACUCUGGAGCUAAGCUGCUUAUGAUUAAAUCCCACCUUUGCCAUUUGCAAGAUAUUUGGUAUUGAACAAAUGACUUAAUCCAUAUGUAUCUUGGUCUCCUCUACCUCACAGUAUGUAUGAGAAUUAAAAGAGUUAAUAACACAAAGUGCUUAGAAGAAUAGCUUCUGAUAUGUAAGGGAUGUUAUGUAAUUUUUAUUAUGUUACUAUUAUCAUGUUAAUCUGACCCUGCACUCAGAUGGGGUGACUUUGGCCUCACUUCAGGCCUGGUUUCUGGUAUUCUUUUUGUAAAGAUCCACCAAUGACUAUGCUUCAUUUCACUUCCAUGAGCUUUAGGACACAUGCAAAUUGAGUAUUAUCUUGAGGGAGUGGUACCCCUGCCAGGCUUUCCUCUCCUCGGAAAAAUCCACCAUGGACUUCAGGUGUAUUUUUGGAUUAUUUAGGAGUAAUAACAUGCAGGACAGUAAGUCACAGUUCUUAGCAAUUAUUACACCAUCUAAGGGUGAUUGCUCUGCUUAAAGCAGCCCCCUGUUGAAGUAAGAGCCGUAUGUAAUUUCUUAUACAUAUCUUGCUAUGAUGGUAUCAUCUAUCCCAUCUUUAUUGUCACUGUUGGUUGACUCAAGGGAGGAAAACAGACUCAGUGUGGCUGGUGUAUAAGCUGUCCAGUGAAAGGCUUAGGAGGUGAUUUUCCAAGUAAGUUCUAUUAGAAUGUGGAUUUUUAUUUAUUUAGGCCAACUCAGAUGUUCUACUGGGGUAUAUGUUAUUGAAGAUAUGUAGAGAAACAAGAGUUAUUUAUCAGCAGCAUUAAAGUUAAAUGAGCUGAAGUGAUGAGUAAGCAGUCAUUACUUAGAGAGUAAGCUAUGAACAAACAGAAAUCAUGCAUAAGCAGAAGGCAAAAGACAUACUACAGCAGAGAGUGAGAUAGCUGGCUUUGUAGCGGCUACAGCAGAAGCAGAGGGAGAUCAACAAAGUCCUUCUGUUAAAGGGAUGAUAGGCUAAUAAACUCCCCAACUGCUUUGAGUCCUUCAAUUUUUGACUUGUUUCAAAUUCCAGAGGUCCACA